Molecule: ribosomal RNA, 720 nt
Filed under: uncultured Clostridium sp.
Lineage: Bacteria; Bacillati; Bacillota; Clostridia; Eubacteriales; Clostridiaceae
Description: bacterial SSU rRNA
Rfam family: Bacterial small subunit ribosomal RNA
Source: RNAcentral
GAUGAACGCUGGCGGCGUGCCUAACACAUGCAAGUCGAGCGAUUCUCUUCGGAGAAGAGCGGCGGACGGGUGAGUAACGCGUGGGUAACCUGCCCUGUACACACGGAUAACAUACCGAAAGGUAUGCUAAUACGGGAUAACAUAAGAAAUUCGCAUGUUUUUCUUAUCAAAGCUCCGGCGGUACAGGAUGGACCCGCGUCUGAUUAGCUAGUUGGUGAGGUAACGGCUCACCAAGGCGACGAUCAGUAGCCGACCUGAGAGGGUGAUCGGCCACAUUGGAACUGAGACACGGUCCAAACUCCUACGGGAGGCAGCAGUGGGGAAUAUUGCACAAUGGGCGAAAGCCUGAUGCAGCAACGCCGCGUGAGCGAUGAAGGCCUUCGGGUCGUAAAGCUCUGUCCUCAAGGAAGAUAAUGACGGUACUUGAGGAGGAAGCCCCGGCUAACUACGUGCCAGCAGCCGCGGUAAUACGUAGGGGGCUAGCGUUAUCCGGAUUUACUGGGCGUAAAGGGUGCGUAGGCGGUCUUUUAAGUCGGGAGUGAAAGGCUACGGCUCAACCGUAGUAAGCUCUUGAAACUGGAGGACUUGAGUGCAGGAGAGGAGAGUGGAAUUCCUAGUGUAGCGGUGAAAUGCGUAGAUAUUAGGAGGAACACCAGUAGCGAAGGCGGCUCUCUGGACUGUAACUGACGCUGAGGCACGAAAGCGUGGGGAGCAAACAGG